UAUAUAUAUAUAUAUCAGCCAACCUAACUAGAUAAGAUAGGUGAAGGUAAGAAUUGCAUUCUGCCAGGAAUCGGAAAAAGAUUUUUCCUGAGAGACAAUGAUACAGCAUGUCAAAUACAGAAGUGAAUGCUAGUAAAAAACCAGUGAACUAAAAACGGACCUGCUCUUGGUAAACUUAAAAAAAGGAUUAGAAGAGCUUAAGGUACUUUCAACCCCAUAAGAACAACAAUGCCAAUGAACCAGGGCUUUCUCUUACUGUACGAAUACACAAAGAAAGUACAUGGACUGAGGAAUGGCUCCAAAUUCAUAUAUGGCAAUGGAUGUAAUUUUUGAUCAACAUUGGAAAGAGAAGCCCUUGUCCUCCCUUGUACAUCUUUCAGUUCAAGGGAAUGUCAUGCGGGAGAAAGGCUGGUUAGAGAAAAAGGAAAUGGGAAUGUGUAGGGAUCUUAUGCUCAGGAAACUCAGAAAGGAAAUAAUAUUUGAAAUUUAAAUAUAGAAACAUCCCGUUAAAAAAAAACAAUAAAAUUUGCUAAAAAUAAAAAAGAAAGAUAUAAAAGAAAGUAAAAGCUGUCAAGUAAUCACACAUAUUGACUCGUAAAUGUGAAGUGGCAGAGUAAUACUAGUGGAAAGACUGAGAUGAUGAAGUCUCAACUAGAAGCACUUCUGUCACGUUAAUAUUAGUGGCAGACAAAAAAAUCACUAUUGGUGUCCAAAGCAUGUUGUUUACUUCGAGAUAGCAACACAAUAUUUGUACUUCCCUUCUUCGUUAGUACCUUUCUUCUUGACAAAAACAGUAAAGGUCAUGAGCUCUGGAAAACAAUUGUGCUCUUCACAAUACUUGGGUUUUGUAAUAAAGAAAUGAAUGAUAUAAACUAUUUGAAUUUUAGGAACCAUAAGAACAGGGAAGUUCAGAUGCUUCUAAGAGACUUGCAGCUCAUGAUUCCCAUAUGUGGAAGGUUCAAAAAAGGCUAUCUCUUUAGCGAUCCCACACAAAUCCUACCUUGGACUCACUAAGCUUUCCAAGGACCACAUAUGCCUUUCUUUUUUUAAAAAAAAACAAGACAGAAAGCCAGCUAUUCCCCUUCUCAUAUCUCUUCAUCUUCUUUUUUGUCACGUCCAAAUAACUGUUUACUCUGAAUUAGAGGCCAAUUAGUAAACCCUAGAGGUAAUGAAGGAACAUCUGAAGAUCAGUUGCAGUCACAGCAAUACUUGUGACAUCACAGAAGAAGCUUUGGCUCUCAAGGAUACCAGUGAUUUUUCAUGAAUGAACUAAUGAUGAUGUCUCUAAGACCUGCCAUGGCCUAUCUGCUAAAGAGCUUUCCUUACAUUGACUAGAUUUGAGGGUGCCCUUUCCAGAGCAAAAAGAGUAAAAGCCACGAGCUCUGAGAAGAACAAAUGUGCCCUUCCCAACAACUGGCUUUUGUAUUGAAGAAAUUGAUUACAUAAACGCUCUGACUUCCAGGAACCAUAUCAAGCAGGGAAGUCCAGAUGAUUCUAAGAAGAUCGCAGCACCUGAUUCCCAUGUGUGGAAGGCUCAGAUAAAGGCUACUACUUCUGCAAUCCCACUCAAUACGUACCCAAGACUCACUGAACUUUCCCAUGGACCAGAUUUGAGGGUGCCCUUUCCAAGAGUGUCUCCUGUGACAUACUGGAAACCUUUACAUAUUAUAUAUCUUUAAAGCUA
Rattus norvegicus (Norway rat) is the source of this 1684-nucleotide non-coding RNA. The record is from RefSeq and is a predicted model, not a curated record. Lineage: Eukaryota; Metazoa; Chordata; Mammalia; Rodentia; Muridae.